This 1372-nucleotide ribosomal RNA is filed under the name uncultured bacterium. RNAcentral describes it as "bacterial SSU rRNA". It matches the Rfam family "Bacterial small subunit ribosomal RNA", at positions 28 to 1381 of the family's 1533-position model. The record is from RNAcentral.
GAUGAACGCUGGCGGCGUGCCUAAUACAUGCAAGUCGAGCGAACGGACGAGAAGCUUGCUUCUCUGAUGUUAGCGGCGGACGGGUGAGUAACACGUGGAUAACCUACCUAUAAGACUGGGAUAACUUCGGGAAACCGGAGCUAAUACCGGAUAAUAUUUUGAACCGCAUGGUUCAAAAGUGAAAGACGGUCUUGCUGUCACUUAUAGAUGGAUCCGCGCUGCAUUAGCUAGUUGGUAAGGUAACGGCUUACCAAGGCAACGAUGCAUAGCCGACCUGAGAGGGUGAUCGGCCACACUGGAACUGAGACACGGUCCAGACUCCUACGGGAGGCAGCAGUAGGGAAUCUUCCGCAAUGGGCGAAAGCCUGACGGAGCAACGCCGCGUGAGUGAUGAAGGUCUUCGGAUCGUAAAACUCUGUUAUUAGGGAAGAACAUAUGUGUAAGUAACUGUGCACAUCUUGACGGUACCUAAUCAGAAAGCCACGGCUAACUACGUGCCAGCAGCCGCGGUAAUACGUAGGUGGCAAGCGUUAUCCGGAAUUAUUGGGCGUAAAGCGCGCGUAGGCGGUUUUUUAAGUCUGAUGUGAAAGCCCACGGCUCAACCGUGGAGGGUCAUUGGAAACUGGAAAACUUGAGUGCAGAAGAGGAAAGUGGAAUUCCAUGUGUAGCGGUGAAAUGCGCAGAGAUAUGGAGGAACACCAGUGGCGAAGGCGACUUUCUGGUCUGUAACUGACGCUGAUGUGCGAAAGCGUGGGGAUCAAACAGGAUUAGAUACCCUGGUAGUCCACGCCGUAAACGAUGAGUGCUAAGUGUUAGGGGGUUUCCGCCCCUUAGUGCUGCAGCUAACGCAUUAAGCACUCCGCCUGGGGAGUACGACCGCAAGGCUGAAACUCAAAGGAAUUGACGGGGACCCGCACAAGCGGUGGAGCAUGUGGUUUAAUUCGAAGCAACGCGAAGAACCUUACCAAAUCUUGACAUCCUUUGACAACUCUAGAGAUAGAGCCUUCCCCUUCGGGGGACAAAGUGACAGGUGGUGCAUGGUUGUCGUCAGCUCGUGUCGUGAGAUGUUGGGUUAAGUCCCGCAACGAGCGCAACCCUUAAGCUUAGUUGCCAUCAUUAAGUUGGGCACUCUAAGUUGACUGCCGGUGACAAACCGGAGGAAGGUGGGGAUGACGUCAAAUCAUCAUGCCCCUUAUGAUUUGGGCUACACACGUGCUACAAUGGACAAUACAAAGGGCAGCGAAACCGCGAGGUCAAGCAAAUCCCAUAAAGUUGUUCUCAGUUCGGAUUGUAGUCUGCAACUCGACUACAUGAAGCUGGAAUCGCUAGUAAUCGUAGAUCAGCAUGCUACGGUGAAUACGUUCCCGGGUCU